This 253-nucleotide ribosomal RNA is filed under the name uncultured bacterium. Its description in RNAcentral is "partial 16S ribosomal RNA". It matches the Rfam family "Bacterial small subunit ribosomal RNA", at positions 524 to 776 of the family's 1533-position model. The record is from RNAcentral.
UACGUAGGGUGCAAGCGUUGUCCGGAAUUAUUGGGCGUAAAGGGCUCGUAGGCGGUCUGUCGCGUCGGCUGUGAAAACCCGGAGCUCAACUCCGGGCCUGCAGUCGAUACGGGCAAACUGGAGUGUUGCAGGGGAGACUGGAAUUCCUGGUGUAGCGGUGAAAUUCGUAGAUAUCAAGCGGAACACCGGUGGCGAAGGCGGCCUUCUGGACAGUAACUGACGCUGAGACGCGAAAGCGUGGGGAGCAAACAGG